This 21-nucleotide non-coding RNA is filed under the name Caenorhabditis elegans. The record is from RNAcentral. Lineage: Eukaryota; Metazoa; Nematoda; Chromadorea; Rhabditida; Rhabditidae.
UAACAUGUGCCUAAAAUAGAA